This 1346-nucleotide ribosomal RNA is filed under the name uncultured bacterium. RNAcentral describes it as "partial 16S ribosomal RNA". It matches the Rfam family "Bacterial small subunit ribosomal RNA", at positions 28 to 1381 of the family's 1533-position model. The record is from RNAcentral.
GACGAACUUUGGCGGCGUGCUUAACACAUGCAAGUCGAACGGAAAGGCCCUGCUUUUGUGGGGUGCUCGAGUGGCGAACGGGUGAGUAACACGUGAGUAACCUGCCCUUGACUUUGGGAUAACUUCAGGAAACUGGGGCUAAUACCGGAUAGGAGCUCCUGCUGCAUGGUGGGGGUUGGAAAGUUUCGGCGGUUGGGGAUGGACUCGCGGCUUAUCAGCUUGUUGGUGGGGUAGUGGCUUACCAAGGCUUUGACGGGUAGCCGGCCUGAGAGGGUGACCGGCCACAUUGGGACUGAGAUACGGCCCAGACUCCUACGGGAGGCAGCAGUGGGGAAUAUUGCACAAUGGGCGGAAGCCUGAUGCAGCAACGCCGCGUGCGGGAUGACGGCCUUCGGGUUGUAAACCGCUUUCGCCUGUGACGAAGCGUGAGUGACGGUAAUGGGUAAAGAAGCACCGGCUAACUACGUGCCAGCAGCCGCGGUGAUACGUAGGGUGCGAGCGUUGUCCGGAUUUAUUGGGCGUGAAGGGCUCGUAGGUGGUUGAUCGCGUCGGAAGUGUAAUCUUGGGGCUUAACCCUGAGCGUGCUUUCGAUACGGGUUGACUUGAGGAAGGUAGGGGAGAAUGGAAUUCCUGGUGGAGCGGUGGAAUGCGCAGAUAUCAGGAGGAACACCAGUGGCGAAGGCGGUUCUCUGGGCCUUUCCUGACGCUGAGGAGCGAAAGCGUGGGGAGCGAACAGGCUUAGAUACCCUGGUAGUCCACGCUGUAAACGGUGGGUACUAGGUGUGGGGUCCAUUCCACGGGUUCCGUGCCGUAGCUAACGCUUUAAGUACCCCGCCUGGGGAGUACGGCCGCAAGGCUAAAACUCAAAGGAAUUGACGGGGCCCCGCACAAGCGGCGGAGCAUGCGGAUUAAUUCGAUGCAACGCGUAGAACCUUACCUGGGUUUGACAUGGAUCGGGAGUGCUCAGAGAUGGGUGUGCCUCUUUUGGGGUCGGUUCACAGGUGGUGCAUGCCUGUCGUCAGCUCGUGUCGUGAGAUGUUGGGUUAAGUCCCGCAACGAGCGCAACCCUUGUUCACUGUUGCCAGCACGUUAUGGUGGGGACUCAGUGGAGACCGCCGGGGUCAACUCGGAGGAAGGUGGGGAUGACGUCAAGUCAUCAUGCCCCUUAUGUCCAGGGCUUCACGCAUGCUACAAUGGCUGGUACAGAGAGUGGCGAGCCUGUGAGGGUGAGCGAAUCUCGGAAAGCCGGUCUCAGUUCGGAUUGGGGUCUGCAACUCGACCUCAUGAAGUCGGAGUCGCUAGUAAUCGCAGAUCAGCAACGCUGCGGUGAAUACGUUCCCGGGGCU